RNAcentral lists this ribosomal RNA (1192 nucleotides) under uncultured Alphaproteobacteria bacterium. RNAcentral describes it as "bacterial SSU rRNA". It matches the Rfam family "Bacterial small subunit ribosomal RNA", at positions 55 to 1341 of the family's 1533-position model. Lineage: Bacteria; Pseudomonadati; Pseudomonadota; Alphaproteobacteria. The record is from RNAcentral.
AUGCAAGUCGAACGCAGUAGCAAUACUGAGUGGCAAACGGGUGAGUAUAAUGUGGGAAUCUGCCUUUUGGUUUGGAAUAACACGGGGAAACUUGUGCUAAUACCGAAUAAGCCUUUACGGGGAAAGUUUUAACGCCGAAAGAUGAGCCUGCACUUGAUUAGCUAGUUGGUAAGGUAAAAGCUUACCAAGGCAACGAUCAAUAGCUGUUCUUAGAGGAAGACCAGCCACAUUGGGACUGAGACACGGCCCAGACUCCUACGGGAGGCAGCAGUGGGGAAUCUUGCACAAUGGGGGAAACCCUGAUGCAGCGAUGCCGCGUGAGUGAAGAAGGCCCUUGGGUUGUAAAACUCUUUCGUCGGGGAAGAAAAUGACUGUACCCGAAUAAGAAGGUCCGGCUAACUUCGUGCCAGCAGCCGCGGUAAUACGAAGGGACCUAGCGUAGUUCGGAAUUACUGGGCUUAAAGAGCUCGUAGGUGGUUAAAAAAGUUGAUGGUGAAAUCCCAAGGCUCAACCUUGGAACUGCCAUCAAAACUUUUUAGCUAGAGUGUGAUAGAGGUAAGUGGAAUUUCUAGUGUAGAGGUGAAAUUCGUAGAUAUUAGAAAGAACACCAAAUGCGAAGGCAACUUACUGGGUCACUACUGACACUGAGGAGCGAAAGCAUGGGUAGCGAAGAGGAUUAGAUACCCUCGUAGUCCAUGCCGUAAACGAUGUGUGCUAGACGUUGGAAAUAUAUUUUUCAGUGUCGCAGCGAAAGCAUUAAGCACACCGCCUGGGGAGUACGACCGCAAGGUUAAAACUCAAAUGAAUUGACGGGGACCCGCACAAGCAGUGCGCAUGUGAUUAAUUCGAUGCAACGCGCAGAACCUUACCUGGGCUUGACAUACAUCAGAUCGCUGCAGAGAUGUAGUCUCUCUUUGUGUUGGUGUACAGGUGGUGCAUGACUGUCGUCAGCUCGUGUCGUGAGAUGUUGGGUAAGUCACGCACCGAGCGCAACCCAUUGUCUUUAGUGACAUCAUUUCAGUUGGCACGUCUAAAGAGAACUGACUGUGAUAGCAGAUGAGUGGGGACGACGUCAGGUCCUCAUGACCGUACGUAUGGCUGACUCGUGCUACAUGGCAGUGACAUGCUGAAUCUCAAGCUGCUCAGUUCCGAUGCAGCCUGAACUCGGAGCUACUGGAAGGCUGGCAAGUAC